CCUACGGGCGGCAGCAGUGAGGAAUAUUGGUCAAUGGACGAGAGUCUGAACCAGCCAAGUAGCGUGAAGGAUGACUGCCCUAUGGGUUGUAAACUUCUUUUAUAUGGGAAUAAAUUGUUCUACGUGUGGGAUUAUGUAUGUACCAUAUGAAUAAGGAUCGGCUAACUCCGUGCCAGCAGCCGCGGUAAUACGGAGGAUCCGAGCGUUAUCCGGAUUUAUUGGGUUUAAAGGGUGCGUAGGUGGAUUGGUAAGUCAGUUGUGAAAGUUUGCGGCUCAACUGUGGAAUUGCAGUUGAAACUGGUAGUCUUGAGUACAGGAGAGGUGGGGGGAAGUCGUGGUGUAGCGGUGAAAUGCUUAGAUAUCACGAAGAACUCCGAUUGCGAAGGCAGCUCACUGGACUGUAAAUGACACUGAGGCUCGAAAGUGUGGGUAUCAAACAGGAGUAGAUACCCCGGUAGUC
Molecule: ribosomal RNA, 460 nt
Filed under: uncultured bacterium
Lineage: Bacteria
Description: partial 16S ribosomal RNA
Rfam family: Bacterial small subunit ribosomal RNA
Source: RNAcentral